This 253-nucleotide ribosomal RNA is filed under the name uncultured bacterium. RNAcentral describes it as "partial 16S ribosomal RNA". It matches the Rfam family "Bacterial small subunit ribosomal RNA", at positions 524 to 776 of the family's 1533-position model. The record is from RNAcentral.
GACAGAGGCCUCAAGCGUUAGGCGGAAUCACUGGGCUUAAAGCGUGUGUAGGCGGAUCGUUAAGUGCUUUGUGAAAUCCCACAGCUCAACUGUGGAACUGCUUGGCAUACUGACGGUCUUGAGCCAUCUAGGGGUCGCUGGAACAAACGGUGGAGCGGUGAAAUGCGUAGAUAUCGUUUGGAACGCCAAUGGUGAAAACAGGCGACUGGGGAUGUGCUGACGCUGAGACACGAAAGCCAGGGGAGCAAACGGG